AGAGAGAGACAUGCGCGCAUAUCAAUAAGCGGAGGAAAAGAAACUAACAAGGACUUCCCCUAGUAACGGCGAGUGAAGCGGGAAGAGCUCAAAUUUGAAAUCUUAAAGGGUUUCCCUUUACGAAUUGUAGUUUAAAGAAGUGUUUUCUGUUGAGGUUUUGGUAAAAGUUCUUUGGAAUAGGACAUCAUAGAGGGUGAGAAUCCCGUAUUUGACCUUUACUUUCAACUUUGUGAUACACUUUCAAAGAGUCGGAUUGUUUGGGAAUGCAGUCCAAAAUGGGUGGUAAAUUUCAUCUAAAGCUAAAUAUUGGCGAGAGACCGAUAGCGAACAAGUACCGUGAGGGAAAGAUGAAAAGAACUUUGAAAAGAGAGUUAAACAGUACGUGAAAUUGUCAAAAGGGAAGCGUUUGACACCAGUGUUGUUUUUCUGAAAAUCAAUUAAAGAACUGUUUAUGCUAAGUUGUUUAGACUUUAUCAGCUAACUGUUUAGUUUUGAGCUUUUCUUUAAUGCACUUUUCAGUUAACAAGUCAACAUCAAUUUCUUUUGCUGUAAAAAAGCUUGAGGAAGGUGGCUUGAGAUUCGUCUUAAGUGUUUAUAGCCUCUUGCCUAUGCAGUCGGAGAGAUUGAGGUCUGCAGCGUAGAUCCUUCGGGGCUAAAUGCAUUUGUGCUAAGUUAUAGCAUUUUAUAGACAACUUGUUGACUAUGAUUUGUCUUGUAGCUUACUCGCUUAUGUUAUUUUACCUACGCUUAGGAUGUUGAGCGCAUGUCUCUCUCU
Molecule: ribosomal RNA, 775 nt
Filed under: uncultured Neocallimastigales
Lineage: Eukaryota; Fungi; Neocallimastigomycota; Neocallimastigomycetes; Neocallimastigales
Description: partial large subunit ribosomal RNA
Rfam family: Eukaryotic large subunit ribosomal RNA
Source: RNAcentral